GAGGAAUAUCACAGAGGUGAAGUGCAACUGUCAUCAUGUCAUAUCAAGAGUACACACUAACAAGAUGAUUUAUUGCUGAAUAUUGAACUUGAUUACCUGACUGAGGUGAAUCGACUGACUCUGGAACAUUCAGGAACUUUCUCAUGGUCACCCAGCUAGAGUAUGGAAGCCAAGCUGUCUGAUUCCAGGAUCUUUGUUGUUAAUCCUAUGCAUAAGGAAGCCAUAAUGAGACCAUCACUAUUUUUAAGAUUCACAGAUAUUCGGGCCCAGAAUGCCAAGUUUUACAGGGUUGAGGAAUCAAAGCUGCAAUUAGUAAUAAAAUGUGAUGCUAUCUGGAAUGUUUUUCAUACAUAUAUAUGCUUCUUGGGACUCUCCCUGCAGGUUAAGAGAAAUUGAGAAACGAUGGCAAAUUCAAGUAUUUUAGAUCCUACAUACACAAGACUUAAAUAUAGUAACUAUAUACCUGAGUAUUUAUAAUCUUAAGAAUGAACAUAACAUGAACCAUGUGGCACCUAUAAAAUGAAAAUAAAAUACCUACAAACCAACUGAGAGCAAUAAAAUAAGCUUUAAGGACUUUCA
Long non-coding RNA from Cebus imitator (Panamanian white-faced capuchin), 579 nucleotides. RefSeq lists it as uncharacterized. Lineage: Eukaryota; Metazoa; Chordata; Mammalia; Primates; Cebidae. The record is from RefSeq and is a predicted model, not a curated record. The transcript is spliced from 2 exons.